GGAGGGGUCCACCAGCUUGUGUUUCUUUAAUGGAGCUGCAUCAUAAUGAGGCUGGAGGUGUUUCUCACAGAAUGAGAUCAGACAGACCAGACAGGACUUGAAGGCUUUCAGUUUUCUCCCAGUGCAGACAUCACAGGACACAUCUUCAGGUCCAGCAUAGCAGAGAUCAGCAGGAGCAGCUUGGAGUCCAGUCUUCUUCAGCUCCUCCACUAAAACUGCUAACAUGGUGUUUUUCACCAGGACAGGCCUCGGUGUGAAGGUCUGCCUACACUGAGGGCAGCUGUGGAUUUCCUUCUCAUCUUCAUCCCAGAAGCUUUUAAUACAGUUCAUGCAGUAGCUGUG
This is a long non-coding RNA of Dicentrarchus labrax (European seabass), 342 nucleotides long. RefSeq lists it as uncharacterized. NCBI's taxonomy places the organism in Eukaryota, Metazoa, Chordata, Actinopteri, Moronidae. The record is from RefSeq and is a predicted model, not a curated record. The transcript has 3 exons.